CCAGACUCCUACGGGAGGCAGCAGUGAGGAAUAUUGGUCAAUGGGCGAGAGCCUGAACCAGCCAAGUCGCGUGAGGGAAGACGGUCCUAUGGAUUGUAAACCUCUUUUGCCGGGGAGCAAAGUGCCGCACGUGUGCGGUUUGGAGAGUACCCGGAGAAAAAGCAUCGGCUAACUCCGUGCCAGCAGCCGCGGUAAUACGGAGGAUGCGAGCGUUAUCCGGAUUUACUGGGCGUAAAGGGGGCGCAGGCGGCGCGCCAAGUCUGAUGUGGAACCCCGGGGCUCAACCCCGGGCAUGCAUUGGAAACUGGCGGGCUGGAGUGCCGGAGAGGUAAGCGGAAUUCCUAGUGUAGCGGUGAAAUGCGUAGAUAUUAGGAGGAACACCAGUGGCGAAGGCGGCUUACUGGACGGCAACUGACGCUGAGGCUCGAAAGCGUGGGGAGCAAACAGGAUUAGAUACCCUAGUACAA
Molecule: ribosomal RNA, 467 nt
Filed under: uncultured bacterium
Lineage: Bacteria
Description: bacterial SSU rRNA
Rfam family: Bacterial small subunit ribosomal RNA
Source: RNAcentral